This 773-nucleotide ribosomal RNA is filed under the name uncultured Neocallimastigales. RNAcentral's name for it is "partial large subunit ribosomal RNA". It matches the Rfam family "Eukaryotic large subunit ribosomal RNA", at positions 24 to 644 of the family's 3401-position model. Lineage: Eukaryota; Fungi; Neocallimastigomycota; Neocallimastigomycetes; Neocallimastigales. The record is from RNAcentral.
GUAGUCUCGCACAGAUGCAUAUCAAUAAGCGGAGGAAAAGAAACUAACAAGGAUUCCCCUAGUAACGGCGAGUGAAGCGGGAAGAGCUCAAAUUUGAAAUCUUAAAGGGUUUCCCUUUACGAAUUGUAGUUUAAAGAAGUGUUUUCUGUUGAGGUUUUGGUAAAAGUUCUUUGGAAUAGGACAUCAUAGAGGGUGAGAAUCCCGUAUUUGACCUUUACUUUCAACUUUGUGAUACACUUUCAAAGAGUCGGAUUGUUUGGGAAUGCAGUCCAAAAUGGGUGGUAAAUUUCAUCUAAAGCUAAAUAUUGGCGAGAGACCGAUAGCGAACAAGUACCGUGAGGGAAAGAUGAAAGAACUUUGAAAAGAGAGUUAAACAGUACGUGAAAUUGUCAAAAGGGAAGCGUUUGACACCAGUGUUGUUUUUCUGAAAAUCAAUUAAAGAACUGUUUAUGCUAAGCUGUUUAGACUUUAUCAGCUAACUGUUUAGUUUUGAGCUUUUCUUUAAUGCACUUUUCAGUUAACAAGUCAACAUCAAUUUCUUUUGCUGUAAAAAAGCUUGAGGAAGGUGGCUUGAGAUUCGUCUUAAGUGUUUAUAGCCUCUUGCCUAUGCAGUCGGAGAGAUUGAGGUCUGCAGCGUAGAUCCUUCGGGGCUAAAUGCAUUUGUGCUAAGUUAUAGCAUUUUAUAGACAACUUGUUGACUAUGAUUUGUCUUGUAGCUUACUCGCUUAUGUUAUUUUACCUACGCUUAGGAUGUUGAUAUCGCGCUCUCACUG